This is a microRNA precursor of Monodelphis domestica (gray short-tailed opossum), 61 nucleotides long. The record is from Ensembl. NCBI's taxonomy places the organism in Eukaryota, Metazoa, Chordata, Mammalia, Didelphimorphia, Didelphidae.
UAUCCAACCUUAUUUCCCACUACGUGUAAUAGAAGAGUGAUGGAAACUAAGGUUGGAUAGG